RNAcentral lists this long non-coding RNA (465 nucleotides) under Capsicum annuum. RNAcentral's name for it is "long non-coding RNA (CANN_LNC011558)". Lineage: Eukaryota; Viridiplantae; Streptophyta; Magnoliopsida; Solanales; Solanaceae. The record is from RNAcentral.
CAAUCAUGUAGCGUGCGACAAGCUUGAUAAUAAUUUGGAAAAAUUUGACACCAAUCCUAUUAGUGCCUGCAAAAAAUAUGUUAUCCACUGGCAGCUUAAGAUUCAUAUGAGUUUUUUUAGAUUUAAGGUGAGAAAGAGCAUCAUCAAGAGUUGGGAAAGGUUGUUGGUUAAGAAAUGUAUCUUGGGUUAGUCAUAAUCAUUAGUAAUAACUAUAAAUAAUUAAAUCAAUUUCUCAUUGUUACGGUAAGUAAAAAAUUUAGCAGCAACAACAUCAAAAUUUAUUGGAGUUGCUUCGAUCAAGGUUAAUUAAUUUUAGACGAAUUCCAUCUUGAACAGAAAUUCAUAGAUAGGUUCCCCCUUUACUUGUUUCAAGUUGUCUAUCUCCUUCAUCAAUUGAAAAUAAUGAGAAAGAUCAUAAAUAUUAUACCUUGAGAGAGAUGAUCCUAUACCUUAUUUGUAGUGUCA